UACGGGGGGGGCAAGCGUUGUUCGGAAUUACUGGGCGUAAAGGGCUCGUAGGCGGCCAACUAAGUCGGAUGUGAAAUCCCCAGGCUUAACCUGGGAACUGCAUCCGAUACUGGAUGGCUUGAAUCCGGGAGAGGGAUGCAGAAUUCCAGGUGUAGCGGUGAAAUGCGUAGAUAUCAGGAGGAACACCGGUGGUGUAGACGGCUCUCUGGACCGUAACUGACGCUGAGACACGAAAGCGUGGGUAGCAAACAGG
Molecule: ribosomal RNA, 253 nt
Filed under: uncultured bacterium
Lineage: Bacteria
Description: partial 16S ribosomal RNA
Rfam family: Bacterial small subunit ribosomal RNA
Source: RNAcentral